UACGAAGGGGGCUAGCGUUGCUCGGAAUCACUGGGCGUAAAGGGCGCGUAGGCGGAUCUUUAAGUCGGGGGUGAAAGCCCAGGGCUCAACCCUGGAAUUGCCUUCGAUACUGAAGAUCUCGAGACCGGAAGAGGUAAGCGGAACUGCGAGUGUAGAGGUGAAAUUCGUAGAUAUUCGCAAGAACACCAGUGGCGAAGGCGGCUUACUGGUCCGGUACUGACGCUGAGGUGCGAAAGCGUGGGGAGCAAACAGG
RNAcentral lists this ribosomal RNA (253 nucleotides) under uncultured bacterium. RNAcentral's name for it is "partial 16S ribosomal RNA". It matches the Rfam family "Bacterial small subunit ribosomal RNA", at positions 524 to 776 of the family's 1533-position model. The record is from RNAcentral.